RNAcentral lists this ribosomal RNA (1056 nucleotides) under Triticum aestivum (bread wheat). RNAcentral describes it as "partial small subunit ribosomal RNA". Lineage: Eukaryota; Viridiplantae; Streptophyta; Magnoliopsida; Poales; Poaceae. The record is from RNAcentral.
AUGGCGGAUGCAGCAGAUCUCCUCCCGGGCCUCCCUAACGACAUCGCCAUCUGGGAGAUCCUCAUCCGCCUGCCCCCGAAACCCCUCCUCCGCAGCCGCGCCGUCAGCCCGGCGUGGCGCCGCGACUUUCUCCUCUCCCACCACGCCCGCCAGCCCGCCCUCCAACUCCUCGAGAGCUACAGCGACGACGACGACGACGACCGCCGCCGGCCGGUUACAGCCCGUCGUGCGACUCAAAAUGCCUCCCUCCGAGGCCGUCACUCCCCGCAUGUAUCUGGCGGCCUCCCGCGACGGCCUCCUCCUCCUCUACCACUUUCACUCCGAGUCGUUCGACCUCUGCAUCUGCAUCUGCAACCCGGCAACUCGGCAGUACGCUCCCCUCCACCACCUCAAGGGAUUCAGACCUCUGGGCACACCCCCUCUACGGGCGGCGACUACCGCCUCUUGCUGUACCGAUUGGCUGAACAUGGCGCCCACGUUUUCACAUUAGGCUCUGCCGAGCCGCCAAGGCGCAUACCGUGCCCUCGUCCGCUCUUCCUGGGACAUAGCGCCGGAAUCCUAUUCCGAGGCAGCAUAUACUGGUACACGCACAGGGGAAUACUGAUAUUCGACACCACCAAUGAGUCCUUCAGGCGUAUCCGCGCCCCGCCUGCUAGUCACGACGCUCGGGUGUUUCUGAUGGGUGACAUGCUCGCCCUCUUCGGUCCUAAUGAUCAAGGCACAGCCAUUGAUAUCUGGGUGAUGCCCAACCGCCAACAAGAGGUCUGGGAUUUCAAGUGUCGGGUUAAAUUGCCCGUUGCGGAGACUAGGCAGCAGUGUCGGUGCUCCGAGCAUGACCAGGUUGUCAUGGUUGUGCCUGGGGACGACGGUGGCUUGCUCAUGCUCAUCAGCUGUGACAAAUGGCUGUUUCAGGUUGAUAUUGAUGGCAACUUGAUUGCCAGUUUCCAUACCAGAGGCCUCAGUUAUACUCACCAGAUGUUCAAGCAAACUCUUGUUCAACAUACCUUCUUUCCGACACUAGAGGGUUAUGUUGUCAACGCUCCGCCUUUCAUCUGA